AGGUGGGAAGUUCUUGGAGGGAAGGAUACUGGGGGUCUGUUUGGAAACAGACUCUCUACCCCAGGGUAGGGGUAAGGUCUGCGUACAUACUACCCUCCCCAGACCCCACUAAGUAGGAUUAUACUGGAUGGUACUUUCUUUCUUUUUUUGUAUGAAUAUGGACAACACAAAGCUAUGAGCUCCCUGAAACCAGUAAACCAAGUUCAAGCUGUGCAUAAAUGAAUUUAAACAUAUGUUUUAUGGAAAACUAGACCCAGCUCAGAUUUCAACAUCCCAAACAUGAUUUGGACUAACAGACAUAAAACCCAUAGCUACACCCAAAAUCAACUAACUCAUGAUCAAGCUAAAGAAACAGAACCUUCGGUUAAUACGCAUACCCAACAUCUAAUAUAUAGCUGAAUUGGAUACGUUCAAUACAGAAACCAUUUUUAAUUUUAAGAAACAAAUGCAGUAGUGAUUACAGGAUUAUUUACACAGAAGAAAACUUAGCUAGGAGGAGGGGAGAAACACAAGGCAACAAACUUAAAGAAAAGGAAAUUGAUAGAGCCACAGAGAGAAAUCAUUUUCUUCAACUGAAAUUCACAUCUUCAUACAAUAGCCUAAAACAAACAUCAGUUCCACACAUAGUUCAGAUGAAAUACCUGGGAAACAAAAGGAAACAAGGACAAGUGAGGAUUAAGUAAACACAGCAACAACAAAUCAGCAACCAGAUUUCAACGGAACAGUGACCAGUAAGCCAAACAGCUUCAAACCAAUCUGUUAACUUCCCAGAAUCAAACCAUUUUUGGACCCAAAAUGAAUAAAAAAUUCUUUGAAGUCUUUAAGUCCUUGUUAAUAGUAAAGCCAAAGAUGCAAUUCCAAAACUAAUUUCAAUUAAAAUGUUGCCGAACCUUUUUUGUCUUUUUAGAGUAUGAAAGGAUUUUUUUAGAAGUUUUGUGCAGAAAAAUGAGGCCUGAAAUUUGCCCUUGAGUGAAGGAAAUGCAACCUCUUUAUAGGCAUAGGGAAAUGCCAUGUGCUGAAACAGAAUAGGAAUAUUUCCAGCCUGCAAAAGCAUCUUUCUUUUAAUUAGUUGGGACAACUGUCGUCCUUAAAUUGGUUUUUGCACUUGUGCUGGCCAAAUAAGGCCAGCUGCCCCUUAUUCUAGAUCAUUCCAAUAGGUUCUUUUACCUUAGCCAGGUUUACCCACCCCCUCAGAUAUACCCCUGAAGUUUUCUUUUUUGUUCAAUUGAACCCUACAAAUAUACAUCCAUUUAUUUACAGAUUAUAGAAAUAAUCAACGGAACCAAUAAUUAUCCUAAAUCAAAUUAAAAGGACGGCCCAACUCAGAAUCAACCAUACUGGUCUAUAUUAGUAUAGGCAAUAUAAACAUACAAUAGAAUACUGAAAGCCCUAAAUCAUGCUAACUCAAUCAGAAAACAAUUAUGAAAGGGAAUAUAACAGAAAAAGAAAAAGAGCGGAAAAUAACACACAGACAUGAAUUUCGGACUGAAACUAAUUAAUACCACUGACUGAAUAAUGGUUAACAAAACAAAAGAAAAUAAAAUUAUAUGAAGAGAGAAAAAAAACUAAAUAAGACAGUAGUCUAAUAAAAAAACACUUUUUUUCUUUUCUUUUCCUUUUCACAAACAUGAACCAGAAUAUUAAAAGAAAAACAAAGACAAGGUUGUACCUAAUGAGAUGUGGGAAGAAUCUGAAGUGGAUCUCGUGAUUGGGCUUCAAUAUAGCUCAAAAUUGACCCCGAUUGAUUGUUGUUGUCAAGAAGAAUACAUUUUGGGUGAGUUUCGAACUAUCGAAUGGAAAGAAACACGACGGAAUGAACAUGCAGGAACCAAUCUCCUUUUUUCAUUCAGAUUUGACAUUUGACUGGUUUGAGGAGGAUUUGGGGAAAUAACUUAUGAAUUUGAAAAGGAGGGGUAAAGAUGUUUAUAAGGUAAAGAUUUGAAGGUGUUUGGAGAGAAACCGCAGUCCUGAGAAGAUUUCCGGUGGGUGGCGGCUAGGGUUCAGGUUGUGUAAGUUUGAGAGAGAAAUAGGGUGGCCAGGGUUUGCUGGGGUUAGAGACAGAUGGGAAUGAAAGGGGUUCUCUAGGGUAUGGGGGGAUGUCUUCGGACAUAUAAAAGGGAAUCAAAGCCUAGUUCCCAACUGUUGGAUCCUGAAGGAUCAACAGAUGGGAUUUGAAUGCUGGAAAUGGUGUCGUUAUGGGUGGAGAUUGCGAGAACGGGUAGUUGAGCAUGGGUUGGAACGGUAUUUGAAAGGAAUUGGGCCAGGGAUGUUUGGGACUUGGCCCCAAUUGGGUUUUAAGAACAAAUUCCCUUUCCUUUUCUUUUGUUCUA
RNAcentral lists this long non-coding RNA (2330 nucleotides) under Nicotiana benthamiana. RNAcentral's name for it is "long non-coding RNA (NBEN_LNC008238)". Lineage: Eukaryota; Viridiplantae; Streptophyta; Magnoliopsida; Solanales; Solanaceae. The record is from RNAcentral.